Molecule: ribosomal RNA, 419 nt
Filed under: bacterium
Lineage: Bacteria
Description: partial 16S ribosomal RNA
Rfam family: Bacterial small subunit ribosomal RNA
Source: RNAcentral
UGGGGGAUAUUGCACAAUGGGCGAAAGCCUGAUGCAGCGACGCCGCGUGGGGGAUGAAGGCCUUCGGGUUGUAAACUUCUUUUGCUCUGAACAAGGCAUGCUAAUGGGUGUGUUGAGUGUAGGGGUUGAUUAGCGCCGGCUAACUACGUGCCAGCAGCCGCGGUAAUACGUAGGGCGCGAGCGUUGUCCGGAAUUAUUGGGCGUAAAGGGCUUGUAGGUGGCUGGUUGCGUCUGUCGUGAAAGCUCAUGGCUUAACUGGUGGUUUGCGGUGGGUACGGGCUGGCUUGAGUGCAGUAGGGGAGGCUGGAAUUCCUGGUGUAGCGGUGGAAUGCGCAGAUAUCAGGAGGAAUACCGGUGGCGAAGGCGGGUCUCUGGGCUGUUACUGACACUGAGGAGCGAAAGCAUGGGGAGCGAACAGG